Long non-coding RNA from Aphis gossypii (cotton aphid), 1362 nucleotides. RefSeq lists it as uncharacterized. The record is from RefSeq and is a predicted model, not a curated record. NCBI's taxonomy places the organism in Eukaryota, Metazoa, Arthropoda, Insecta, Hemiptera, Aphididae. The transcript has 3 exons.
GAUAAAUAGAUCACGAAACGUAAUUUUAUAAUCUCUAACCAAUAUCAGUAUAGAUAUAUAAUAUUAUAAUAACCUUAAAGAGUAAUGUUAGCCGCCAAAAUUGAGUAUAAGAUUAUAUUUUUCUUAUAUUAUCCUUAGGUAAAAAAGCGGGAAUGACAUUUUAAAUAUUCAGUGUCUUGCUAUUUAAGGAUUUAACGACAACUAAUUUAUAAAAAGGUCUAAAAGUGAAUCGCCUGAAACAGAAGGAAUGGUGUAUUUUUUGGUCGAAAAUGGCCAUGGCCGUAAAAAUCAAUCGCAUGCAACCAUGUGAUCGUUGGCCACGAGCUUUUACUAUACGUCACUGCAGGCCCCCACGCAGUGCGGCGGUGACGGCCAAGGAUGAGAUUCUUGAAGACUAAAAUAAAAUAUACACGCCAGAGUUCAACGAAACGUAACUAUAUGUAUUGGUACCAUGUUUAAUUUUAUAACUUAUAUAUUUAAAUAAAUAUUCGUCGAAGGCGGUCGCUUUACGUAUCAGUGUAUUCGUUAUUCGUUGAUAUAUUAUUAUACUAUAAAUAAUUAUACAUAUAUAUAUAUUUAUAAUCGUAUACGAUGUAUAUAUUAAUAAACUCACCAUGAUGCCUCACGCAUAGAGCUUUGUUUAAAUUUUAAAUCACACUGGAUAGACGUUGAUUGAGUCGGUUUUUAGAUUUAAAUAGUUAAAAAAUUCCACAUUAUCAAAACCCCUGUAUAUGUAUAUAUAUAAACCGUGUUGCAACGUAUCUAAAAUACGCAGUACAUAAAUUAAUUUUUAUAUUUAUAUUAUACGCUUCUUAAAAAAUGAAUCUGUAUCUGUAUUUUGGCAAAAAAUAUUGUGUAUUUUAUAAUAGAAGUAUCUAUCUAUGGACUAUGAUGUAUGAUACCUACUUUUAAAAUUCAAUUUAACUAUGCAGCAAAAUGUAAAUCGUUUAAUGAAAACUUAAGUGAAUAAUUAGACCAUGUACUUAUUAGAAAGUUUUAAAGUUUUAUUUAAUUAUUUUAAAAUAUUUAGAUUCAGGGAUAGAAUGAUGAUGGCAUAAUAUACUAUACCUACCUAAUUAUUUACUCAAGUUUUAUAAACAUAGGUAUAGAAUUUAAGAAAAAGUUCAAUUACAGUUGCUCAAGGCGCAUUUAGUAACUAUGUUUAUUAUUUAUAAAAUAUUCAUGAAAUAUAAUUUGAUUAUCAUCCCUUCUAUAUAUAGCGCUCCCUCUUGUAGUUGAGUCACUAUAUUUAGUAUUGGUAGACAACCCUCAAAAAAAAAAAAAAAUUAUGAUGAAUGUUAUUUUAAAUCUUACUUUAUUUAAAAAUGAACACUAAAAUCUAAGAUUAUGAUUUUUUAUUAC